GGUGGGAUGGCGGAUUGGUUACGCGUGCGCCUGCAGAGCGCAUUCAUGAGGGUUCGAUUCCCUCUCCCACCU
This 72-nucleotide transfer RNA is filed under the name Nitrososphaerota archaeon. Its description in RNAcentral is "Thaumarchaeota archaeon tRNA-Cys". It matches the Rfam family "tRNA". From Rfam's summary of the family: Transfer RNA (tRNA) molecules are approximately 80 nucleotides in length. The record is from RNAcentral. Lineage: Archaea; Thermoproteati; Nitrososphaerota.